UAUUUGAAAAGGUAAUAUAUAUUAAGAUUUUAUUCUUCAAGUUGCAUAUGUUGUCCAGUGAGAACAAUUUUACAUAGAACUCACUCUUAAAACAGACUUCUGAGAAAAUAAUCACCAGAAACCUUAGAGAGAGGCCUUUCAUGAGCAAUGUAAGAUAUAAUUAGACUAGAAACAUUAAAAAAAAAAAAAAAAAAAGGCCCAUAACAUUAUUGCGAAAGGCAUGGAAAGGAAGGCCAAUAACAGGAACUGCAAAUGAGGUCUCCAAAAGCAUCUUCCGCUGAGAUGAGUCGAUUGUACCCCUGGCUUCAAUGAUGUUUUUCACCAAAGAAUUAUAGUAGAUUUUUAGUUUCUAGAGUAUGCAUGAGUACUUUGGCUCCAGCCAUCUCAGCUUCAGUUUCACUAGGAAGAAUACACGUNCGUCAGAAAAUAACAAG
RNAcentral lists this long non-coding RNA (434 nucleotides) under Olea europaea subsp. europaea. The record is from RNAcentral. Lineage: Eukaryota; Viridiplantae; Streptophyta; Magnoliopsida; Lamiales; Oleaceae.